GCACUGCUGGUUCAAUGGUAGAAUUUUUGUCCUCCAUGCAGAAGGCCCAGGUUCAAUUCCUGGCCGAUUCA
This 71-nucleotide transfer RNA is filed under the name Loxodonta africana (African savanna elephant). It matches the Rfam family "tRNA". Rfam says of the family: Transfer RNA (tRNA) molecules are approximately 80 nucleotides in length. Lineage: Eukaryota; Metazoa; Chordata; Mammalia; Proboscidea; Elephantidae. The record is from Rfam by way of RNAcentral.